UGACUGCGUACCUUUUGUAUAAUGGGUCAGCGACUUAUAUUCUGUAGCAAGGUUAACCGAAUAGGGGAGCCGGAGGGAAACCGAGUCUUAAUUGGGCGUUAAGUUGCAGGGUAUAGACCCGAAACCCGGUGAUCUAGCCAUGGGCAGGUUGAAGGUUGGGUAACACUAACUGGAGGACCGAACCGACUAAUGUUGAAAAAUUAGCGGAUGACCUGUGGCUGGGGGUGAAAGGCCAAUCAAACCGGGAGAUAGCUGGUUCUCCCCGAAAGCUAUUUAGGUAGCGCCUCGUGAAUUCAUCUCCGGGGGUAGAGCACUGUUUCGGCUAGGGGGCCAUCCCGGCUUACCAACCCGAUGCAAACUGCGAAUACCGGAGAAUGUUAUCACGGGAGACACACGGCGGGUGCUAACGUCCGUCGUGAAGAGGGAAACAACCCAGACCGCCAGCUAAGGUCCCAAAGUCAUGGUUAAGUGGGAAACGAUGUGGGAAGGCCCAGACAGCCAGGAUGUUGGCUUAGAAGCAGCCAUCAUUUAAAGAAAGCGUAAUAGCUCACUGGUCGAGUCGGCCUGCGCGGAAGAUGUAACGGGGCUAAACCAU
Molecule: ribosomal RNA, 595 nt
Filed under: Salmonella enterica subsp. enterica serovar Muenchen
Lineage: Bacteria; Pseudomonadati; Pseudomonadota; Gammaproteobacteria; Enterobacterales; Enterobacteriaceae
Also listed under: 3 other names
Description: partial 23S ribosomal RNA
Rfam family: Bacterial large subunit ribosomal RNA
Source: RNAcentral